This 1497-nucleotide long non-coding RNA is filed under the name Homo sapiens (human). Its description in RNAcentral is "non-protein coding lnc-BUB1-7:1". The record is from RNAcentral. Lineage: Eukaryota; Metazoa; Chordata; Mammalia; Primates; Hominidae.
GUCACAUCAUGACAUUCUCUCUCCAAAACCCAGUUGUUCUCUGUGACGAUGCCAUAAAGUGACAUCUAAUGACUCAGGUGUGUGUACUGGGUGGCAGGGGCAUGUCACACACAAGCAUUCUCAACUGCAGCCUCAGUCUGGGAACGAGGUGGUGCGACCCUCAUUUCCGAGGGGCAGCUGCUGUUUUAGUUCCCAUCUUAUCAUUACUGGAAUUUCAAGUGUAGUACCAGAAACCAAAUUAAAAUUCACAGGAACGCUGCACUCUGUACUGUUUUCAGAUGUUCAGAUAUCUACAAACACUCGAGUAGAAUCAAGAUUAGAUUUUCAAGUCAUCAGCGUGAAUUAAGCUUUGAAUCGAUAUUCAACUCAGAACUGAGAGAGGAUUUUACACACAUAAUAGAACAUACUUAGCCAAAAAGUGCACAUUCUGUCUGGCACUUGCGGGAAACAGCCAGGCACAGCCAGGGACUGCAGGGGUGUGAGGAGAAAGAAGGCCUGUCCUUCAGACAUUGCAGGGCUGUCUACCUUUACUCUCCAGAGAGAUUCUGCUUUAACCACCAAAAGCAAUAAAGGAUCCUGUAAAGGGCCAUUUCUUUGUGGACUCUGAAACCAGCUUUAAACCAAUUCCAAGAGAUACUCCGAAAAUGUUUAGGGGAGUCACUGCCUCUGUCUGCAGGUGGGCUCUCUGAAGCUGACAUUCAUUUAGAGAAAGAAAAAUUCCAGGAUGUUUAUUCAACUCUGUAAGUCUCCUUCUUUAAAUAUCUUCAGAAAUAUCUUUCUAAAUUCAGAGUUAUCCAAAGCUUACAAGAGGAGGGAAGCAACAGACCAGCCCCCUUAUGUUUCCUUAUAAAACUCACCUGGGUGAUGGAGCUGUUUCUAGUCCCAGUUAGCUAUAAGGCAAAGGAGAGCAACUGCCAUCAGCGUUUGCGGUAAAUGCUAUCAGAAUCAUGUUUGAAAUCCUCAACUCUGACGGUUCUCAGAAAUAAAAUAAGCAAGUAACCAACAACACACACACACACCUCCCUCCAGGUCUAUUUCUCACUUGUAUCAUUUUAUUUUUUGGCAAUCCCAAUCAAUUCCGCUGAGCCACUGGAUGAAAACAAAAGCUAUGAGAAAUACGAUGACAGCAUUAGUACUCAAAGAUUCCUCAAUCUGUCUCCCUGGAACACAUUUGUGUCAAAAGCCUGGGCAGUCACAUGAAUUCAAGACAGUGCUUCAAAAACAGCUGCUAGGAUAAAAUACUAUCAAUAAUAAAGUUUAUGAGAUGAGGCCAGUGUUUUCAUACUUACUCUUUCAACGUGCACUGCCCAUUGCCUUUAUGGAGCCAUGGUCAAAAGAAACAGCUUUCAUCAAUUUCCAGCCUGACCAUUUGGAAACUGCCAGUAAACCAAGGCUGUGAAGUUGGACAGAAGUCUGGAAACUAGUGUUCAUGAGAUUUUUUCCCUCAUUCACUAUUAUCUGUCCCUUAUAAUAAAAAUACAAGUCUAAAGACAUUAA